AAAAUGCUAAUUAAGAAUCCAAACCAACAAAAACUUCUUAAAUAAAUAAAAUGCUUCCUAUAUUUCUUCCUAAAAUAUGUAGUCCUAAAAUCUCUAGACAAUCCUGCAUCAACUGACUAUGUUAUUUAUGCAGGAUAGAGUUUCUUUGUUAAGGGUGGGAGGGAGGAGAAACUUGCAAUCAUAUUGCCAAGAAGAGGGGGGGAAAUGGCUGAUCAAAUUAUCUUAUAUAAAAGUUGAACAUCUAGCAGUUAUGCAUUAUCUUUGAUAACUUGAUUUUAUUAGUCUUGAGACAUGGGCUGCACUGAAUCUCUUUUGAUAUCUGUGGAAGUACAAUCUCUCAAAUCAGGCAUAUUGGACCAAUAUUUGAUAACAAAGAUGCGAGAUGUACUCAUAUCUGAUAAUUAUGGAUUUGGCAUAGCAUUCUCUUCAUUUUUAUGAUUUUUUUUUUAAUUU
Molecule: unclassified non-coding RNA, 453 nt
Filed under: Hevea brasiliensis (rubber tree)
Lineage: Eukaryota; Viridiplantae; Streptophyta; Magnoliopsida; Malpighiales; Euphorbiaceae
Source: RNAcentral